This is a long non-coding RNA of Fukomys damarensis (Damara mole-rat), 609 nucleotides long. RefSeq lists it as uncharacterized. The transcript has 3 exons. NCBI's taxonomy places the organism in Eukaryota, Metazoa, Chordata, Mammalia, Rodentia, Bathyergidae. The record is from RefSeq and is a predicted model, not a curated record.
AGAGGGGCCUCCUGUGUCCUAUCCAGCAGAAAGAGCAAGAAAGACUCCAAGGUGUUGCACAGGGGCGGAGACCAGGGCUCUGAAGAUUUCUUAGAAGAACAGGCAGGUCCAUGCCAAGAGUCCUUCAAAAGGUGGCCUGUGUCCGUGCUGACCACGAAGACGACCAGUAGAUGCCUUUGACUUCCCUGGAAUCGCAGGGCAGCCAGCUUCCCGGGAGGCACUUGAGCUGCGAGGGGCGAAUGUGGCCAUCGGACAGGAUCCUGCUCAGGAUCAGGAAUAAGAAGAGGGGAACCGCAGUCGGGUUUCAUUGUGAUACCCGGGGCAAAACUAGCAACAGACGUGGGCAGGACAAAGAACUGGCCUGAGACAAUAAUUUGUGUCAAGACUCCAUCCAAUCACCAGGCCCUGCUGCAUUCACGUUCUCCUGAUUUAUGUCUCAGCUCCCAGAAUGCCAGGUGCCUGCAGCAUGAGGAGGUGGAGGCUUUGGCAGGUGUUCUGCCAGCACGGAUCAGAUUUAUCACCAAAUUAAACACAACUGUGAAUUUGGAAGAAAAAUUGUCAAAUUCACAAAGUAUGCCACAGAUUAGCCCAAAUACAGUUGCUUCUAAC